RNAcentral lists this long non-coding RNA (1339 nucleotides) under Homo sapiens (human). RNAcentral describes it as "HSALNT0150326". The record is from RNAcentral. Lineage: Eukaryota; Metazoa; Chordata; Mammalia; Primates; Hominidae.
UUUAGUGCAACCAUGUUAGGAAAAGCUAUGUGCUAAGUGUAGUGAGCACGCCAAAUACAGUGAGAGGAAAAAAAAUAAAAGAAAUCUGACCUGUUAGUAGCAUGGUGGGCCACAGCACUGUGCUGUGCUGUGAGCCUGGUCUGUCUCCAUCUAAGUUUCUUUAAUGAGAAAACAAAUAAAAUAUUCAAAAAAGAAAUUUUUUUUUUUUUUUUUUGAGACAGAGUCUCGCUCUGUCGCCCAGGCUGGAGUGCAGUGGCGCGAUCUCGGCUCACUGCAAGCUCCGCCUCCCGCGUUCACGUCGUUCUCCACCUCAGCCUCCCGAGUAGCUGGGACUACAUGCGCCCGCCAUCACACCAGGCUAAUUUUUUGUAUUUUUAGUAGAGACGGGGUUUCACCGUGUUAGCCAGGAUGGUCUCGAUCUCCUGACCUCGUGAUCCACCCGCCUCAGCCUCCCAAAGUGCUGGGAUUACAGGCGUGAGCUACUGCGCCCGGCCUAAAAUAUAUAUUAUGUGUAUAUACAUAGAUUUUUAAUUUAAUAAUAUUCCAUUGCUUAGAUGUACCACAGUUCAUUCAUCAGUUGAAAGGCCUUUGAGAUGCUCCCUCUUUGGGCAAUUAUGAAUAAUGUCACAAUCAACAUUUGCAUGCAGAUUUUGUGUGAACAUAAGAGUAAUUUCUCUUGGACUGGCAUGCCUGCUUUGUAUGGAUUGGUGAAGUGCUAAUAUUUAUUCCACUCCUGUCUUCUGAGCUCUAACCAAAUUGAGAACAACUACAAAAAAUGAGUAAUGUCAAGUAAGUCACCAGCAGAGAUCACAUUCAAGGGGAUUGGAUUACACAGAUUUUACAGAAGAAGUUGAAAUGGAGAAGCUUGAGGAUUAAAGUUGAUCUUGAAGCACUGUCCCCCAAGAAGACCUUUGCCUGCAAUCUCUGACAUUGGUACUCUCUGCAGUAUGUUUAUUGUUAUUGUUUUCUUAAAGGAUUCUAACAGAAAUCUACCAGCCUCAUUCACAAACUUUGCCUGUUCUAGCUGGUGAUAUUUACCAGAUAAUAGUGUGAGCAAACAUACCAUAUACUUCCUCUCUGAUAUCUGUGAGUAUAAUACUAAUUGGUAUAAUUAUAUUAUUAACACUUCUGUGAAAUAUUUUUGACAUUUGUAUUAAAGACUUUAUUAAUGAUAAUUACAUAAACUUAACUCUCUAACAAUUUUUAUGACUUUCCACUAUUCACUUUUAAAUAAGUCUUGGCCAUCACAAAAUUAUUAAUUUACAAAUGUGUUCUAGUUUGCUAGAAAAUAAUUUUUUUAAGAAAAUAUGUGGACUGGAGGCCGGGCACGGUGGCUCAC